CUGACAUUGAGAAUGGAUGAAAGGUGGAAGCUGCCUGCAGUGAUAGCAUGACUGCUUUUCACAUGAUGCUUUUCUGGGGACUUGCAGCCUUUCAUGGAAGGUGGGGAUGGCCCCUUCCAGCCGCUCUUCACGGUGUGCUGUGUCUCAGGUUUUCUUUUUGUUCAUCUGAGACACAGAACAUCUCUUGAUGAAGGUCACAGCUUUGAUCCCCGUGGCUCGCUCUUGUGUUUAUAGCCAUUAUUAGUAACAUCAGCUCAUGCACGCACUUCUCCCUGCCUGCCCUUGUCUGGCUGCAAGGGAGCAGGGGCAGGAUAACAAAAGAAAGUAUAAAUAGUCUUUUUAAAAGCCUGUUAAAUAGAAAUAGACUUUUUAGGGAGGAGUUAGAAAGAAUGAGGCAUGUUACCAUAGUAACUGCCAAUGGUUUAUUUAAGAAGGGCAAAGAAACAAACACCACAAAAAGGCGAAGUCGAGAGGAAUAGAAGAUUGCUGGAGGAAUCUGUCGGGACACAGACAACACAGGGCCAGGAAAGCUCUCACUGUGUCAGGAGCAAAUACCAAAGGCCGAAAAUGUAGAAUAGAAACUGCAGCUGGAAUUGCAGGUGUGAUGGUGCCCAGAAACACCACAAUGGGACUGUUCUACUCUUGACAUUAAAGGCUCAAAGACCAGAAGCAGCUUGAAAAUUCCCAUAUUUGGUUUUUCUUUGGUGUUUUGUUUUCAAUCUUGUUGUUUCUAUAUCAGUGUAAGGAUUUCCCCGUGCUCAACUCAUAAUUUUGGAAACCUUGGGGCUGCUACUACUGAAAGGGUUCAAAUGGCAGAGUAGAGACCAAGCUGCCCUGUGAGGAGAGCUAAGACUUGCAGAAAAUACUGAUUUUGUCUCAGAACCACCCCAGCAACUCUAUCAGGGAAAGGGAAACAAUUGCAAAAAGCCUCUGGCCUCUGCUUUGGAGGGCAGGCACCAUGAGCUUUCCCAUCCUAUUUGGCUUCAUGAUACAAUUUAAAACAGUACUGUCUGUGUUCCUAUAACAGGGAGGGAGACUGUCACUUCAGUUUCUGUCAGGAGGCUCCUUCCUCGCAGUGAAAGGUUUACAGUUCUUUUUAGAUCACUGAUUAUGAGCUGAAAGGCCUAUUCCUCCUUAGAGCAAUGCAAAAAAUUGUCCUUGGUUUCCGUCUCCAACACCUGUCUGCUUGGUAAGUGCAUUGCAAUGGUACGACAGCUCCUGAGUGUUACUGAUCUCCAGGAUGAAAUCUGAUGCGUGGUUCAGAAGUCUGAUGUCUUGUGAGCCCAACGGCACAGACAUGUUUGCCAGGGCAUGGAAAUGACUUCAUACAAAAA
Molecule: long non-coding RNA, 1334 nt
Filed under: Numida meleagris (helmeted guineafowl)
Lineage: Eukaryota; Metazoa; Chordata; Aves; Galliformes; Numididae
Description: lncRNA (ENSNMEG00000010042.1)
Source: RNAcentral